Molecule: ribosomal RNA, 478 nt
Filed under: Segatella oris
Lineage: Bacteria; Pseudomonadati; Bacteroidota; Bacteroidia; Bacteroidales; Prevotellaceae
Description: bacterial SSU rRNA
Rfam family: Bacterial small subunit ribosomal RNA
Source: RNAcentral
GAUGAACGCUGGCUACAGGCUUAACACAUGCAAGUCGAGGGGAAACGACGGGGAAGCUUGCUUCCCCGGGCGUCGACCGGCGCACGGGUGAGUAACGCGUAUCCAACCUGCCUCUGACUGAGGGAUAACCCGUCGAAAGUCGGCCUAAUACCUCAUGGUAUCGUCUGCGGGCAUCCAACGACGAUUAAAGAUUUCAUCGGUCAGGGAUGGGGAUGCGUCUGAUUAGCUUGUUGGCGGGGUAACGGCCCACCAAGGCUACGAUCAGUAGGGGUUCUGAGAGGAAGGUCCCCCACAUUGGAACUGAGACACGGUCCAAACUCCUACGGGAGGCAGCAGUGAGGAAUAUUGGUCAAUGGGCGAGAGCCUGAACCAGCCAAGUAGCGUGCAGGAAGACGGCCCUAUGGGUUGUAAACUGCUUUUAUGCGGGGAUAAAGUGAGGGACGUGUCCCUCAUUGCAGGUACCGCAUGAAUAGGACCG